Molecule: ribosomal RNA, 253 nt
Filed under: uncultured bacterium
Lineage: Bacteria
Description: partial 16S ribosomal RNA
Rfam family: Bacterial small subunit ribosomal RNA
Source: RNAcentral
UACGAAGGGGGCUAGCGUUGCUCGGAAUUACUGGGCGUAAAGCGCACGUAGGCGGAUCGUUAAGUCGGGGGUGAAAUCCUGGAGCUCAACUCCAGAACUGCCUUCGAUACUGGAAAGCUCGAGUCCGGGAGAGGUGAGUGGAACUGCGAGUGUAGAGGUGAAAUUCGUAGAUAUUCGCAAGAACACCAGUGGCGAAGGCGGCUCACUGGCCCGGUACUGACGCUGAGGUGCGAAAGCGUGGGGAGCAAACAGG